This 1529-nucleotide ribosomal RNA is filed under the name Clostridium perfringens. Its description in RNAcentral is "partial 23S ribosomal RNA". It matches the Rfam family "Bacterial large subunit ribosomal RNA", at positions 1 to 1536 of the family's 2925-position model. The record is from RNAcentral. Lineage: Bacteria; Bacillati; Bacillota; Clostridia; Eubacteriales; Clostridiaceae.
AGGUCAAGCUACAAAGGGCGCAUGGUGAAUGCCUUGGCAUCAGGAGCCGAUGAAGGACGUGAUAAGCUGCGAUAAGCUUCGGGUAGGCGCACAUAGCCUGAGAUCCGAAGAUCUCCGAAUGAGGAAACUCACAUGGGAAACCCCAUGUAUCAUUAAGUGAAUACAUAGCUUAAUGAAGGUAACCCAGGGAACUGAAACAUCUAAGUACCUGGAGGAAGAGAAAGAAAAAUCGAUUUUCUUAGUAGCGGCGAGCGAAAGGGAAAGAGCCCAAACCGGAAACUUGUUUCCGGGGUUGUGGACAUAGCAUCAAAGUGGAGGCUAUUGUAACUGAAGAGAACUGGAAAGUUCCACCGUAGAAGGUAAUAGUCCUGUAAGUGAAACGAGAAGACCACGAGUUAUGAUCCAGAGUACCACGAGACACGUGAAACCUUGUGGGAAGCAGGGAGGACCACCUCCCAAGGCUAAAUACUACCUGAUGACCGAUAGUGAAGCAGUACCGUGAGGGAAAGGUGAAAAGAACCCCGGGAGGGGAGUGAAAUAGAACCUGAAACCGUGUGCCUACAACCGCUCAGAGCCCCUUAUGAGGGUGAUGAGGUGCUUUUUGUAGAACGAGCCAACGAGUUACGGUAUGUAGCAAGGUUAAGUACUUAAGGUACGGAGCCGAAGGGAAACCGAGUCUGAAUAGGGCGACUAGUUGCAUGCCGUAGACCCGAAACCGGGUGACCUAUCCAUGGCCAGGUUGAAGCGAGGGUAAAACCUCGUGGAGGACCGAACCACGUUGCUGUUGAAAAAGCAUGGGAUGAGCUGUGGAUAGCGGAGAAAUUCCAAUCGAACCCGGAGAUAGCUGGUUCUCUCCGAAAUAGCUUUAGGGCUAGCGUCGAGUAUGAGUAGUGGAGGUAGAGCACUGAAUGGGCUAGGGGGCAUAGCGCUUACCGAACCUUAUCAAACUCCGAAUGCCACAUACUUUGAGCUCGGCAGUCAGACUACGAAUGAUAAGAUCCGUGGUCAAAAGGGAAACAGCCCAGAUCGUCAGCUAAGGUCCCAAAGUGUAAGUUAAGUGGGAAAGGAUGUGAGAUUUCUAAGACAACUAGGAUGUUGGCUUAGAAGCAGCCAUUCAUUAAAAGAGUGCGUAAUAGCUCACUAGUCGAGAGAUCUUGCGCCGAAAAUGUAACGGGGCUAAACUUACCACCGAAGCUACGGGCUUGAACUUAGUUCAAGCGGUAGGAGAGCGUCGUAACCGGGCUGAAGUCGUACCGUAAGGAGCGGUGGACUGGUUACGAGUGAGAAUGUUGGCAUCAGUAGCGAGAUGUGGGUGAGAAUCCCACAGGCCGAAAACCUAAGGUUUCCUCAGGAAGGUUCGUCCGCUGAGGGUUAGUCGGGACCUAAGCCGAGGCCGAAAGGCGUAGGUGAUGGACAACUGGUUGAUAUUCCAGUACCACUACCAUCGUUAUUAUCGAUGGCGUGACGCAGGAGGAUAGUGUGUGCUAGCUAUUGGAUGCUAGUCUAAGCGUUUAGGCAGUGAGAGUAGG